RNAcentral lists this transfer RNA (97 nucleotides) under Tilletia horrida. RNAcentral's name for it is "tRNA-Arg". It matches the Rfam family "tRNA". Rfam says of the family: Transfer RNA (tRNA) molecules are approximately 80 nucleotides in length. Their secondary structure includes four short double-helical elements and three loops (D, anti-codon, and T loops). Lineage: Eukaryota; Fungi; Basidiomycota; Exobasidiomycetes; Tilletiales; Tilletiaceae. The record is from RNAcentral.
GGCCGCUUAGCACAGCGGUAGUGCGUUCGACUACGAGUCGUCGUCAGCCUAGCUGCUCGAUAUCGAGAGGUCGCAGGUUCGAUCCCUGCAGUGGUCG